GAAGGAGAUAAAUUUAACUUGGUGUGAGUUCUGUCUCUAGAAGAUGUGUGGUCUUUGAGCUUGAACUUCCAUAUAUUCAAAAAAAAA
This 87-nucleotide small RNA is filed under the name Arabidopsis thaliana (thale cress). RNAcentral describes it as "ATSL215280". Lineage: Eukaryota; Viridiplantae; Streptophyta; Magnoliopsida; Brassicales; Brassicaceae. The record is from RNAcentral.